GUUUUUCUUCUUUAUAAUGGAUAAUUGUGAGAUUCUUGUCAGCAUUUUACUAUCAUUCGAAUCUAUAUAUAUAUACAUUUUUGCAGCCACUUUGUGAAAUAAAUCCUCAAGUUGAGACUUAUUUACAGUGGCUGCCACUGACAUUUAAUAAUUAUUUUUGAUAAUUAGAAAGUAAAUCUUCGAAUUAAAUAUUUGACAUUUAACUAUCUUCCCGAAAUCUCUCCACAUUAACUACACAAUUAGUUACUAAAAUAAAACUUCCAAAAUAUUUAAUAUCAUUUAAACACUACAAAAUUAUCAUUUUUGAUAUUGCUUUUUUCAUGACUAUAACAAUUCGAUUAUAAGCAUCAAACCGCAGAAAUAUUUGAUAGCAGUUAAUUACUACAAAAUUAUAAAAUAUUUAUACA
This 407-nucleotide small RNA is filed under the name Arabidopsis thaliana (thale cress). Its description in RNAcentral is "ATSL074820". The record is from RNAcentral. Lineage: Eukaryota; Viridiplantae; Streptophyta; Magnoliopsida; Brassicales; Brassicaceae.